UACAGAGGGGGCAAGCGUUGUUCGGAAUUACUGGGCGUAAAGGGCGCGUAGGCGGCCUGCUAAGUCGAACGGGAAAUCCCUGGGCUCAACCCAGGAACUGCGUCCGAUACUGGUUGGCUUGAAUCCGGGAGAGGGACGUGGAAUUCCAGGUGUAGCGGUGAAAUGCGUAGAUAUCUGGAGGAACACCGGUGGCGAAGGCGACGUCCUGGACCGGUAUUGACGCUGAGGCGCGAAAGCCAGGGGAGCAAACGGG
RNAcentral lists this ribosomal RNA (253 nucleotides) under uncultured bacterium. RNAcentral's name for it is "partial 16S ribosomal RNA". It matches the Rfam family "Bacterial small subunit ribosomal RNA", at positions 524 to 776 of the family's 1533-position model. The record is from RNAcentral.